RNAcentral lists this unclassified non-coding RNA (767 nucleotides) under Hevea brasiliensis (rubber tree). Lineage: Eukaryota; Viridiplantae; Streptophyta; Magnoliopsida; Malpighiales; Euphorbiaceae. The record is from RNAcentral.
CACGAAUAUUUUAUGGAUUUUUAUCCAAACUUAACAUUAGGUGGAAAAAAAGGAAUUUGGAGUUUGGGUUUGCCUACGCUAAUUUUGAUACUUGAAACGUGUCCGGGUUAUCUAAAAAUGGUGAAAAACACUGUAAUAUUGACCUACUUCUGAAGUGGGCCUGGCAAUCUACGUGUCUGGCUUGAAAUUGUAGUCUCGGUCGCCGGUGGAAUUUCUUUAAAAUAAAAACACUUACGUAAAGUCCACAACACCAGGAGCUAAGAUAUAAUUUUUAUUUAAUUAAGAAGACUCAUUAAAGAUCCGAAAAAUCAUUGGCAAGCUCAUGGGACUCACUAAAUUUUUAGUGUCAGAAAAAUUUUAAAUUGGUGUCGUUGCAAAGCUCUCAAUGUAUAGGACGCGUUGGUGGUCUCGCAUUUUUUGUAGAAUUUACGGUUUUGGAUAUAUCUAGCUCAGAGUCGAAAAUGACUAAAACUUUCCGAGCUUGAUUCGUUCAAAUUGCCCUAUGAAAAUUCAUAAAAUUGACAUAUAUGGAAAGCUUACGAGAUGUAGAACAAAAUGGGGAUAAGAGCUGUCCAAUUGGUGGCUAGAAUCGUUGGAAACGGCAAGGGAAGACGAAAUGGUGCGCAUGAAGAAAGGGCCAGUUUGAGCUCUUUUCCUGGUCGGAAAAAGAGGUAGCAGUGGCGGGGGAAGGGCAAAAGGGGUGCGCCAGCGAGGGAGGGAGGCGGGGUAGGUGGUGGGCUGCAGUGGGGAGAAGAGAGGAGAGAGAA